GACGAACGCUGGCGGCGUGCUUAACACAUGCAAGUCGAACGGUAAGGCCCUUCGGGGUACACGAGUGGCGAACGGGUGAGUAACACGUGGGUGAUCUGCCCUGCACUUCGGGAUAAGCCUGGGAACCUGGGUCUAAUACCGGAUAGGACCACUGCCUGCAUGGGGGGUGGUGGAAAGCUUUUGCGGUGUGGGGUGGGCCCGCGGCCUAUCAGUUUGGUGGUGGGGUGAUGGCCUACCAAGGCGACGACGGGUAGCCGGGCUGAGAGGGUGGCCGGCCACACUGGGACUGAGAUACGGCCCAGACUCCUACGGGAGGCAGCAGUGGGGAAUAUUGCACAAUGGGCGCAAGCCUGAUGCAGCGACGCCGCGUGAGGGAUGACGGCCUUCGGGUUGUAAACCUCUUUCAGCACCGACGAAGCGCAAGUGACGGUAGGUGCAGAAGAAGGACCGGCCAACUACGUGCCAGCCGCCGCGGUAA
RNAcentral lists this ribosomal RNA (478 nucleotides) under uncultured bacterium. Its description in RNAcentral is "partial 16S ribosomal RNA". It matches the Rfam family "Bacterial small subunit ribosomal RNA", at positions 28 to 523 of the family's 1533-position model. The record is from RNAcentral.